RNAcentral lists this unclassified non-coding RNA (252 nucleotides) under uncultured Ascomycota. Its description in RNAcentral is "sequence contains 5.8S rRNA gene, ITS2, 28S rRNA gene". The record is from RNAcentral. Lineage: Eukaryota; Fungi; Ascomycota.
AACGCACAUUGCGCCCCCUGGUAUUCCGGCGGGCAUGCCUGUUCGAGCGUCAUUUCAACCCUCAAGCUUUGCUUGGUAUUGGUGGCAGGCCUCUAAUGGCCUCCCCCGAAAAAUAGCGGCGGAUAGUUUGGAUUCCCAGCGCAGUGACUUUUAAUUCUCGCUGAAAAGGAUCCCCAGGCUCUCCUGCCGGACAACAAACAAUUUUUUCUUAUGGUUGACCUCGGAUCAGGUAGGGAUACCCGCUGAACUUAA